GAUGAACGCUAGCGACAGGCUUAACACAUGCAAGUCGAGGGGCAGCACGUUAUGGUGGCGACCGGCGCACGGGUGAGUAACACGUAUGCAACCUGCCCGUAACAGAGGGACAGCCCUGAGAAAUCGGGAUUAAUACCUCGUAAAACGGAAAUGCCGCAUGGCAUUUUUUGUUAAAGAUACUAUCGGUUACGGAUGGGCAUGCGGCGGAUUAGGCAGUUGGUAGAGGUAACGGCUCACCAAACCGACGAUCCGUAGGGGAACCGAGAGGUUGGCCCCCCACACCGGUACUGAGACAGGGACCGGACUCCUACGGGAGGCAGCAGUGAGGAAUAUUGGUCAAUGGUCGUUAGACUGAACCGGCCAAGUCGCGUGAAGGAGGAGGGUACUAAGUAUCGUAAACUUCUUUUGUGAGGGAAUAAAAGAGACCAUGUAUGGUUUAUUGCAAGUACUUUACGAAUAAGCAUCGGCUAACUCCGUGCCAGCAGCCGCGGUAAUACGGAGGAUGCGAGCGUUAUCCGGAUUUAUUGGGUUUAAAGGGUGCGUAGGUUGUUUUGUAAGUCAGCGGUGAAAUCUUUCCGCUUAACGGGAACAUUGCCGUUGAAACUGCGGGACUUGAGGACGUACAAGGUAUGCGGAAUUCGUAGUGUAGCGGUGAAAUGCAUAGAUAUUACGAAGAACUCCGAUAGCGUAGGCAGCAUACCGGAUCGUAUCUGACACUGAAGCACGAAAGUGCGGGAAUCAAACAGGAUUAGAUACCCUGGUAGUCCGCACGGUAAACGAUGAAUACUGACUGUUUGCGAUAUAGUGUAAGCGGUUAAGCGAAAGCGUUAAGUAUUCCACCUGGGGAGUACGCCGGCAACGGUGAAACUCAAAGGAAUUGACGGGGGCCCGCACAAGCGGAGGAACAUGUGGUUUAAUUCGAUGAUACGCGAGGAACCUUACCCGGGCUCGAACGGCCGUUGAAUAUGUAUGAAAGUAUAUAGUCGCAAGACAACGGUCGAGGUGCUGCAUGGUUGUCGUCAGCUCGUGCCGUGAGGUGUCGGCUUAAGUGCCAUAACGAGCGCAACCCUUACCGUCAGUUACCAGCACGUCGUGGUGGGCACUCUGUCGGGACUGCCACCGUAAGGUGCGAGGAAGGGGGGGAUGACGUCAAAUCAGCACGGCCCUUAUGUCCGGGGCGACACACGUGUUACAAUGGGAGGGACAAAAGGCCGCUACCCGGCGACGGGAUGCCAAUCCCCAAACCCUCUCCCGGUUCGGAUCGGAGUCUGCAACCCGACUCCGUGAAGCCGGAUUCGCUAGUAAUCGCGCAUCAGCCAUGGCGCGGUGAAUACGUUCCCGGGCCUUGUACACACCGCCCGUCAAGCCAUGGGAGUCGGGAGUACCUGAAGUACGUAACCGCGAGGAGCGUCCCAGGGUAAAACCGGUGACCGGGGCU
RNAcentral lists this ribosomal RNA (1438 nucleotides) under uncultured bacterium. RNAcentral describes it as "bacterial SSU rRNA". It matches the Rfam family "Bacterial small subunit ribosomal RNA". The record is from RNAcentral.